Long non-coding RNA from Oncorhynchus gorbuscha (pink salmon), 935 nucleotides. RefSeq lists it as uncharacterized. The transcript is spliced from 3 exons. NCBI's taxonomy places the organism in Eukaryota, Metazoa, Chordata, Actinopteri, Salmoniformes, Salmonidae. The record is from RefSeq and is a predicted model, not a curated record.
AGCCGUAUAUACGUGUACCAGAUAUUCUCACUCUGAAUAAAUCUGUCGCUUGUCGUACAAUCUACCACCUUGUCUGAAUCGAUCCUUAACCGGCUCACCCUUCUACAUAUCCUUUUAUCAACAAGAGCAAGAUCCUGGCCUUUUUGGCGGGUCCAUUUGUAGUUUCAGUGUGGGUGUAAAAUGAGUUGAGUCGGUGAAGGUAAUCUGUAGUGGGCUUGUGAUGUGUUCUUCUUCCGCCUUGGUGUUCUUCUUCCGCCUUGGUGUUCUUCUUCCGCCCCCCCAUCUUGUUGUGAUGUAGGCAGGGUGGAGUGAAUGGUGAGACAGAAGAGUCAGUAGCUCUAUUCGGACGCGAUAAUCUAUCCAUGAUAAUAUGAAACAGGUUCAGGGAUAAAAGUGUGUUUGAUUAAAUGUUCCUAAACAAAGAGGAAGACAUAAUACCAACUGUGGUCCCCAUUCAAAUCACAUUGGACCAAUCAUGACAAGUGAAAACUAGUCAGUUCCAGAGCGGUCCAUUGUCAGAGCGGUCCAUCGUCAGAGCGGUCCAUUGUCAGAGCGGUCCAUUGUCAGAGCGGUCCAUCGUCAGAGCGGUCCAUCGUCAGAGCGGUCCAUCGUCAGAGCGGUCCAUUGUCAGAGCGGUCCAUCGUCAGAGCGGUCCAUCGUCAGAGCGGUCCAUCGUCAGAGCGGUCCAUCGUCAGAGCGGUCCAUCGCCAGAGCGGUCCAUCGUCAGAGCGGUCCAUUGUCAGAUCAAAUGGCUUCAAAUAACAAAAAGAUGAAAAUGUCUGAACCUCAUAAUACCAAGGAAGAACACUGUCACCGAUUGUCCUUUUCUAGCGGAGACUCAGGCCGAACAGAUAAAGGGGAAAUCACCUGUACCGAACCUGGCAACAUAAUAGAAGUUCUCAGAAGAAAUGAGAUCUUCUGUAAAUUAAUGAAAA